Molecule: non-coding RNA, 210 nt
Organism: Oryza barthii
Lineage: Eukaryota; Viridiplantae; Streptophyta; Magnoliopsida; Poales; Poaceae
Source: Rfam
AAAGAUUGUAGUUUUACACUGUUUAUGUCCAACGUUUGAGUGUCCAUCUUAUUCGAAAAUUUGUUAUAAUUAGUUUUAUUAUUAUUAUUAUUAGAUAAUAAAACAUGAGUAGUACUUUAUGUGUGACUAUUUUUUUAUUUUUUUCAUGAUUUUUUUCAAAUAAGACGGUUGGUCAAAUGUUGGACACGGAAAUUUACAACUGCACUUAAA